CCUACGUGUGGCUGCAGUGAGGAAUAUUGGUCAAUGGCCGGAAGGCUGAACCAGCCAAGUCGCGUGAGGGAAUAAGGCCCUAUGGGUCGUAAACCUCUUUUGUCAGGGAGCAAAGGCGUCCACGUGUGGACGAGAGGAGAGUACCUGAAGAAAAAGCAUCGGCUAACUACGUGCCAGCAGCCGCGGUAAGACGUAGGGGGCAAGCGUUAUCCGGAUUUACUGGGAGGAAAGGGAGCGUAGACGGCAGCACAAGUCUGGAGUGAAAUGCCGGGGCUUAACCCCGGAACUGCUUUGGAAACUGUGCAGCUAGAGUGCAGGAGAGGUAAGUGGAAUUCCUAGUGUAGCGGUGAAAUGCGUAGAUAUUAGGAGGAACACCAGUGGCGAAGGCGGCUUACUGGACUGUAACUGACGUUGAGGCUCGAAAGCGUGGGGAGCAAACAGGAUUAGAUACCCUUGUAGUC
Molecule: ribosomal RNA, 461 nt
Filed under: uncultured bacterium
Lineage: Bacteria
Description: partial 16S ribosomal RNA
Rfam family: Bacterial small subunit ribosomal RNA
Source: RNAcentral